Molecule: long non-coding RNA, 339 nt
Organism: Carassius carassius (crucian carp)
Lineage: Eukaryota; Metazoa; Chordata; Actinopteri; Cypriniformes; Cyprinidae
Exons: 3
Source: RefSeq, a predicted model, not a curated record
GAUGCUGAGCCAAAGCCUCAUAUUCCUGUGGUGGAGGUUGUGUCUGAUGAGGAGACAGACACUGCCAACUUGCCCUUCUCUCCCAGGGUCAUAGAAUGGAUUAAGCAUGGUUUUGAGAAAGUAGUUCCUCAGUCUCCUGUCCAUCUUCGUCCUCCCGCUGGCACAGAUGCACCCACCCAGAAGGUUGCUUCUGCACCUGUGACUCCCUGCAAACAAGAGCCAGCACCUGCACCUGCACCUGCACCAACACCUGCUCCUGCACCUCCACCUCCACCUGCAUCUGCACCAGCACCUCCACCUGCACCUGCAGCCCCGUCUGCACCUCCACCUGCACCAGCA